RNAcentral lists this long non-coding RNA (2447 nucleotides) under Nicotiana benthamiana. RNAcentral describes it as "long non-coding RNA (NBEN_LNC039149)". The record is from RNAcentral. Lineage: Eukaryota; Viridiplantae; Streptophyta; Magnoliopsida; Solanales; Solanaceae.
CCCAUUUCAUUUCACCCCCAUCUCUCAUCCCCUUUAGAGAACCUCCCAUAACCCUAGCGUCGCCCCCAAAUCCUCCACCUUCUUCAGUGGUGAUGCCAGUUUCGUUCACCAUCAACUUCACUCCACGAAGCCUCCUCAGACUCCUCUUUCCAAAUCUGUAGAUAGCUUCUUGCGAACACCCUUAUAACGGUUCGAAUCUUAAUUUUUAGAUAUGAACUCUAGCAGCCACCACCAUUCACUCUAGCCUUCCGGUGACAGCCUCCUCCAAAAGCUCUCAAAUUAACAUCCUAGGAUCCCUUCCCAUCCCUGUUCUAUAAUCUCCAAGAAUUUUCCUUCAAAUCCAUUCUAAACCCCUCGAAUCUCACAUCCCAAAUCCGGGUUCAAAAAGUCAAACUUAAAACUUGAAAUUAGUGAUGAUGGUUCUAGUUUUAAGAGCUGGUUUCGUUACAAAUAAUGUUAUUCACUUGUUUGGUAAAAAAUAAGUGAUUACAUUAUUUGACGAUGAAAUCGGAAAGUAAGGGUAUCAGGAUUGAUUUCCAGUGUAGUCGGCGAGUUCUUUCAUGUUUAUUUGUUUAUCUGGUUAAUUAUUAUCCUAAUGUUCAUCUUCCUCAUUUCUUUUGUUUCUCGUCGAUUUCAAUUGAAAUUCGAUCCGUCUUAUGGUAUAAAUUAUUUCUUUUUAUUGUUUAUUUCUUUAGAUUGGUUUUGUGGAUUUGUUUUGUAUAAUUAGGGUAUCAUUUUUUUAAGACUGAAAUAUUAUCUCAUUUAAUUCACUUAGUUAGUUAAAUUAAGGAUUAGCUGGAAUUUGGUUAAUUCUUAUUUAAAUGCGUGUAAUAAUUGACUGAUUAAUAUAAGUUUAAUUCAAUUGUCACCUAACUUAGGAAGCUUCUCAAUAGUUGUAGGGUAAACAUUUUGUUGUUGAGUUAACUAAGGGCACUAAAUUAGUGGAUAAUUUAAGAAAUGUAAAAUAGAAUUGAAAGUGGUAAAUGCACUGAGUUGAACGCCUAUAUAUCGGUACCGAACUCAUACACAAAGUACACAUACAGUUUGGUACUGUAAAAUAUACAGGAUAUAUUUAGAAAUACAAAAAAAAUUGAAGAGAUUCUGAAAGAGCUGAAAAUUCCUAGAAAGUACAUUAUACUAAAAAGAAAUUUUACUGUUCUAUUGCAUCUUUGUCCUGAGUUUUGAAAGUUGUCUUUUAUAGUAUUUUCUGAGCUUUUUGGUAUUAAGGAAUGAGUUGAAUAUUGGUUUUCUGAAAAUACUGGUCCAAAGUUUCUGCAUCUGUACUGUUAUAUUGAUUCAUCCGGAGUUAAUCAUUGUUUUCCUAAUUGAAAAUCCAGGUUGUUCUUGUUGUUGUUGCUGCUGCAUUUUACUCCUUUUUAAUCUCAUUUCCAGGUGCUCCCUUUGAAUUAUACAGGAUGUUUGUCUCAUAUUGAAGAUGAAAUUGGAAAGUUUCUAGAACAUGGCAGCUGAACCUAUCCUGUUUGUUUAGAUUUUUCAGCAUGCUUAGUCGUUUGAUUCAAUAUAGCUGUUAAGAUUAUGUAUUAUUAUUAAAGUUUGAACUAUUGAGAAUAUGUUACUGAUAGAAUGUGGUAAAAGCCUAAUUUAAGAGUUAUCUUUUGAGUAUGUUGGAAUUGAGAGGUGUUAAGUUAAAUAUCUUUGUUAUUGUGCAAGUUACAUUUAUUGUGCUUUUGGACUUAGUGAUAUAUAUACCCCUUUACAUUAGGCCCUCUCGAUAGAGUCGUACCCAAGUUUUGUAGAAGCUAUCGGGUUACCCUAGCAUAGUUCACCCGUUAUUUUGGAGGAUAGAGUUGAUGAUAAGGUUCUUUGCAGAUAAAGUCGGGCUCGAGUUCACCCUCAGCCAUCUGUGUUACACUUAUGCUCCUUAUGCUCAUUCUGCAACCUUAUGCUCAUUCUGGUUUUCUUUCAGAUGGGCUUCAGAGCAACACUUAUUGGGAAUGGCCUCUGUACGAACUUCUUUGAAUCUACUCCCUUCAGAAUCGGGGGGUGCCCCAUGGAUCUAAUCAACCCUUCAGUUAUAAAUCUCAACCCUUUUAUUUUUAUCUUUGAUCUUCUUUUCACCAGAUUCGAUUCUUUUGGUAAGGUCCUCGAGCAUCUUCAUAACAGCGGGGUCUGUUGCUGACCCAUUAUUGCUCGAUCUCUUUGCACCUUCUCGACUCGAGGAGUUAUCUCCGGUGUUACAGUGCUUGGGGUUUUUUGGUAACUUUGUAGCUGAGCAAUAGCCACUUGUUGUUCUUACAACAUUUCAAAAAUGACUUGAAGACUAACAUCUCUCUCCUCACCGUGCACACUCCCGUCGGUAGGAGAACUUAUAUCGACAUGCACAACAUUCCGUGAGCUCACGUCGAUGAGGAUUUUUGCUGGUACUUCCCCUGGGUUUUGUGGUGGUACACCGGCAUCUACUGGUGCUAUCCCCGAGUUUUGUGGUG